CAGCUGUGUUGCUUCAUCCU
RNAcentral lists this non-coding RNA (20 nucleotides) under Arabidopsis thaliana (thale cress). Lineage: Eukaryota; Viridiplantae; Streptophyta; Magnoliopsida; Brassicales; Brassicaceae. The record is from RNAcentral.